RNAcentral lists this transfer RNA (67 nucleotides) under Staphylinidae sp. BMNH 1274669. RNAcentral describes it as "tRNA-Pro". The record is from RNAcentral. Lineage: Eukaryota; Metazoa; Arthropoda; Insecta; Coleoptera; Staphylinidae.
CAGAAGGUAGUUUAUAAAAAAAUUUUAAUUUUGGAGAUUAAAGAUAAAGAAGUUACUUUUUUUCUGA